AUGCAAGUCGAACGGUGAAGCAGAGCUUGCUCUGUGGAUCAGUGGCGAACGGGUGAGUAACACGUGAGCAACCUGCCCCGGACUCUGGGAUAAGCGCUGGAAACGGCGUCUAAUACUGGAUAYGAGCUGCGACCGCAUGGUCAGCAGUUGGAAAGAUUUUUCGGUCUGGGAUGGGCUCACGGCCUAUCAGCUUGUUGGUGAGGUAAUGGCUCACCAAGGCGUCGACGGGUAGCCGGCCUGAGAGGGUGACCGGCCACACUGGGACUGAGACACGGCCCAGACUCCUACGGGAGGCAGCAGUGGGGAAUAUUGCACAAUGGGCGAAAGCCUGAUGCAGCAACGCCGCGUGAGGGAUGACGGCCUUCGGGUUGUAAACCUCUUUUAGCAGGGAAGAAGCGAGAGUGACGGUACCUGCAGAAAAAGCGCCGGCUAACUACGUGCCAGCAGCCGCGGUAAUACGUAGGGCGCAAGCGUUAUCCGGAAUUAUUGGGCGUAAAGAGCUCGUAGGCGGUUUGUCGCGUCUGCUGUGAAAUCCCGAGGCUCAACCUCGGGCCUGCAGUGGGUACGGGCAGACUAGAGUGCGGUAGGGGAGAUUGGAAUUCCUGGUGUAGCGGUGGAAUGCGCAGAUAUCAGGAGGAACACCGAUGGCGAAGGCAGAUCUCUGGGCCGUAACUGACGCUGAGGAGCGAAAGGGUGGGGAGCAAACAGGCUUAGAUACCCUGGUAGUCCACCCCGUAAACGUUGGGAACUAGUUGUGGGGUCCAUUCCACGGAUUCCGUGACGCAGCUAACGCAUUAAGUUCCCCGCCUGGGGAGUACGGCCGCAAGGCUAAAACUCAAAGGAAUUGACGGGGACCCGCACAAGCGGCGGAGCAUGCGGAUUAAUUCGAUGCAACGCGAAGAACCUUACCAAGGCUUGACAUAUACGAGAACGGGCCAGAAAUGGUCAACUCUUUGGACACUCGUAAACAGGUGGUGCAUGGUUGUCGUCAGCUCGUGUCGUGAGAUGUUGGGUUAAGUCCCGCAACGAGCGCAACCCUCGUUCUAUGUUGCCAGCACGUAAUGGUGGGAACUCAUGGGAUACUGCCGGGUCACUCGGAGGAAGGUGGGGAUGACGUCAAUCAUCAUGCCCCUUAUGUCUGGGCUUC
This 1147-nucleotide ribosomal RNA is filed under the name Microbacterium sp. RNAcentral's name for it is "bacterial SSU rRNA". Lineage: Bacteria; Bacillati; Actinomycetota; Actinomycetes; Micrococcales; Microbacteriaceae. The record is from RNAcentral.